CACUCCUGCGGGAGGCAGCAGUGGGGAAUAUUGGACAAUGGGCGCAAGCCUGAUCCAGCCAUGCCGCGUGAGUGAUGAAGGCCCUAGGGUUGUAAAGCUCUUUCACCGGUGAAGAUAAUGACGGUAACCGGAGAAGAAGCCCCGGCUAACUUCGUGCCAGCAGCCGCGGUAAUACGAAGGGGGCUAGCGUUGUUCGGAUUUACUGGGCGUAAAGCGCACGUAGGCGGACUAUUAAGUCAGGGGUGAAAUCCCGGGGCUCAACCCCGGAACUGCCUUUGAUACUGGUAGUCUUGAGUUCGAGAGAGGUGAGUGGAAUUCCGAGUGUAGAGGUGAAAUUUGUAGAUAUUCGGAGGAACACCAGUGGCGAAGGCGGCUCACUGGCUCGAUACUGACGCUGAGGUGCGAAAGCGUGGGGAGCAAACAGGAUUAGAAACCCUUGUAGUCCCAUGA
Molecule: ribosomal RNA, 450 nt
Filed under: uncultured organism
Description: partial 16S ribosomal RNA
Rfam family: Bacterial small subunit ribosomal RNA
Source: RNAcentral